Non-coding RNA from Lepidopterella palustris CBS 459.81, 192 nucleotides. The record is from the annotation of a GenBank genome assembly. NCBI's taxonomy places the organism in Eukaryota, Fungi, Ascomycota, Dothideomycetes, Mytilinidiales, Argynnaceae.
UCCGUCGUGGUCUAGUGGCUAGGAUGUAAGUAGAAUCCCUCCCAGCCUCACUAAAUAUCGGAAUUAACAAAUAAUAGUUGCCGCUCUGUGAGUUUAAUCCUCCACUGUAUCAGUAUCAUAUACUAAUAAUAGCUAUCAGCACUGAAAAGAGCAUGUGCCGGCAAGGCCCGGGUUCAAUUCCCGGCGACGGAA